This 158-nucleotide non-coding RNA is filed under the name unclassified sequences. Its description in RNAcentral is "RT-2 RNA". It matches the Rfam family "RT-2 RNA", at positions 40 to 222 of the family's 222-position model. From Rfam's summary of the family: Coriobacteriales (Actinobacteria), Clostridiales (Firmicutes). The record is from Rfam by way of RNAcentral.
GGGUGUAAAUCCCUAAAACUGCCCGCUGACGGCCUUACACGGACGCUGCUUGCAUGGCGGGGUAUUGCGCUAUCCCCGUUUCAUGUGUCGGGCCAAAGUAGUUUAGACGCGCACCAACAAGACAACUAUGCGGAGGGCGAAUAAAAAUAUUAUGACCA